UUUGUGAAUGUAUUGCAUUCUUUUUUAACUUAAGAAGAUUCAAAGAUUUGAACUGUAACUGUUGAAUUAUUUGUGGCGGAGAUGGAUAAAAUGGUACCUUGGCCUCCCAAAAAAAUAUCAGAGGUGGUAACUACUCCCUCGUCGUAAUUACGCGCAAUUGUGUUUAAGGCGUGUUUAAGACUAAAAAACAUCUCUCUUCCGUAAUAACAUACUGAUAUUCAUAUUGAAACCUAACACGACCUUUAUCGCUUUAGUUCUUUUUUGCGAGUUUGAUCAUAUUUGGUCCAGACAUGAGUCACUAAGUGUAUAAAAGUAGAGAGGAAAAAU
Non-coding RNA from Cinara cedri, 327 nucleotides. NCBI's taxonomy places the organism in Eukaryota, Metazoa, Arthropoda, Insecta, Hemiptera, Aphididae. The record is from the annotation of a GenBank genome assembly.